CAUGUCCUUUAGAAUUUAAUUUAAGGUCUAGCCUGCCCACUGAAAUUAAUUUAAAUGGCCGCAGUAAUUUGACUGUGCAAAGGUAGCAUAAUCAUUAGUUUUUUAAUUAAAAGCUUGUAUGAAAGGUUGGACGAGGUAAAAUCUGUCUCUAAUUAAUUUAAUUUAGAAUUUAACUUUUAAGUCAAAAGGCUUAAAUUUAAUUAAAAGACGAGAAGACCCUAUAGAUCUUUAUAAUUUAUUUAUUAAAUUUAAUUAAGAAUUUUUUAAAUUUUAUUAAUUUAAUUAUUUUAUUGGGGUAAUAUAAAGAUUAAAUUAAUUCUUUUUUUUUAUUAACAUUAAUUUAUGAUUUUAUGAUCCAAUUUUAUUGGCUAUAAGAUUAAGUUACCUUAGGGAUAACAGCGUUAUUUUUUUAGAGAGUUCUUAUCGAUAAAAAAGUUUACGACCUCGAUGUUGGAUUAAAGAUUAUUUCAGGUGUAGAAGUUUGAAAAUUUUGGUCUGUUCGACCAUUAAAUCUUUACAUGAUCUGAGUUCAGACCGGUGUAAGCCAGGUCGGUUUCUAUCUUUAAUAAAUUAAAAUAUUUUAGUACGAAAGGACCAAUUAUUUAAUAUAAAAUAUUUAAAUUUUGUUUAUUAUU
RNAcentral lists this ribosomal RNA (635 nucleotides) under Nebria lacustris. Its description in RNAcentral is "partial 16S ribosomal RNA". It matches the Rfam family "Bacterial large subunit ribosomal RNA", at positions 1858 to 2732 of the family's 2925-position model. The record is from RNAcentral. Lineage: Eukaryota; Metazoa; Arthropoda; Insecta; Coleoptera; Carabidae.